This 455-nucleotide ribosomal RNA is filed under the name uncultured bacterium. Its description in RNAcentral is "bacterial SSU rRNA". It matches the Rfam family "Bacterial small subunit ribosomal RNA", at positions 340 to 786 of the family's 1533-position model. The record is from RNAcentral.
UACGGGAGGCAGCAGUGGGGAAUAUUGCACAAUGGGCGCAAGCCUGAUGCAGCCAUGCCGCGUGUAUGAAGAAGGCCUUCGGGUUGUAAAGUACUUUCAGCGGGGAGGAAGGCGAUGCGGUUAAUAACCGCGUCGAUUGACGUUACCCGCAGAAGAAGCACCGGCUAACUCCGUGCCAGCAGCCGCGGUAAUACGGAGGGUGCAAGCGUUAAUCGGAAUUACUGGGCGUAAAGCGCACGCAGGCGGUCUGUUAAGUCAGAUGUGAAAUCCCCGGGCUUAACCUGGGAACUGCAUUUUGAAACUGGCAGGCUUGAGUCUUGUAGAGGGGGUAGAAUUCCAGGUGUAGCGGUGAAAUGCGUAGAGAUCUGGAGGAAUACCGGUGGCGAAGGCGGCCCCUGGGACAAAGACUGACGCUCAGGCGCGAAAGCGUGGGGAGCAAACAGGAUUAGGAUACC